CAGUAGCCGCGGGAAUACGUAGGUGGCAAGCGUUGUCCGGAAUUAUUGGGCGUAAAGGGCUCGCAGGCGGUUUCUUAAGUCUGAUGUGAAAGCCCCCGGCUCAACCGGGGAGGGUCAUUGGAAACUGGGAAACUUGAGUGCAGAAGAGGAGAGUGGAAUUCCACGUGUAGCGGUGAAAUGCGUAGAGAUGUGGAGGAACACCAGUGGCGAAGGCGACUCCCUGGUCUGUAACUGACGCUGAGGAGCGAAAGCGUGGGGAGCGAACAGGAUUAGAUACCCCAGUAGUCCCUGUCUCUUAUAC
Molecule: ribosomal RNA, 301 nt
Filed under: uncultured bacterium
Lineage: Bacteria
Description: partial 16S ribosomal RNA
Rfam family: Bacterial small subunit ribosomal RNA
Source: RNAcentral